RNAcentral lists this ribosomal RNA (377 nucleotides) under uncultured bacterium. RNAcentral describes it as "bacterial SSU rRNA". It matches the Rfam family "Bacterial small subunit ribosomal RNA", at positions 523 to 898 of the family's 1533-position model. The record is from RNAcentral.
ACACGUAGGGGGCGAGCGUUGUCCGGAAUUACUGGGCGUAAAGGGCGUGUAGGCGGCUGGCCAAGUCAGGCGUGAAAUUUUAAGGCUCAACCUUAAGACUGCGUCUGAAACUGGUUAGCUUGAGGGCAGGAGAGGAGAGCGGAAUUCCCAGUGUAGCGGUGAAAUGCGUAGAUAUUGGGAGGAACACCAGUGGCGAAGGCGGCUCUCUGGACUGCACCUGACGCUGAGGCGCGAAAGCGUGGGGAGCAAACAGGAUUAGAUACCCUGGUAGUCCACGCUGUAAACUAUGGGUGCUAGGUGUUGGAGGUAUCGAACCCUCCAGUGCCGCAGCAAACGCAAUAAGCACCCCGCCUGGGGAGUACGGCCGCAAGGCUGAA